RNAcentral lists this ribosomal RNA (394 nucleotides) under uncultured bacterium. RNAcentral's name for it is "partial 16S ribosomal RNA". It matches the Rfam family "Bacterial small subunit ribosomal RNA", at positions 523 to 918 of the family's 1533-position model. The record is from RNAcentral.
AUACGUAGGUGACAAGCGUUAUCCGGAUUUAUUGGGCGUAAAGAGUACGUAGGUGGUUGCGUAAGCGCAAGGUGAAAGACCGGGGCUUAACUUCGGUGAGCCUUGUGAACUGCGUGACUUGAGUGCAGGAGGGGAAAGUGGAAUUCCUAGUGUAGCGGUGAAAUGCGUAGAUAUUAGGAGGAACACCAGUGGCGAAGGCGACUUUCUGGACUGUAACUGACACUGAGGUACGGAAGCGUGGGGAGCAAACAGGAUUAGAUACCCUGGUAGUCCACGCCGUAAACGAUGAGCACUAGGUGUUGGCGUAGAAAUACGUCGGUGCCGAAGUUAACGCAUUAAGUGCUCCGCCUGGGGAGUACGCACGCAAGUGUGAAACUCAAAUGAAUUGGCGGGG